GACGAACGCUGGCGGCGUGCUUAACACAUGCAAGUCGAACGGAAAGGCCCUGCUUUUGUGGGGUGCUCGAGUGGCGAACGGGUGAGUAACACGUGAGUAACCUGCCCUUGACUUUGGGAUAACUUCAGGAAACUGGGGCUAAUACCGGAUAGGAGCUCCUGCUGCAUGGUGGGGGUUGGAAAGUUUCGGCGGUUGGGGAUGGACUCGCGGCUUAUCAGCUUGUUGGUGGGGUAGUGGCUUACCAAGGCUUUGACGGGUAGCCGGCCUGAGAGGGUGACCGGCCACAUUGGGACUGAGAUACGGCCCAGACUCCUGCGGGAGGCAGCAGUGGGGAAUAUUGCACAAUGGGCGGAAGCCUGAUGCAGCAACGCCGCGUGCGGGAUGACGGCCUUCGGGUUGUAAACCGCUUUCGCCUGUGACGAAGCGUGAGUGACGGUAAUGGGUAAAGAAGCACCGGCUAACUACGUGCCAGCAGCCGCGGUGAUACGUAGGGUGCGAGCGUUGUCCGGAUUUAUUGGGCGUAAAGGGCUCGUAGGUGGUUGAUCGCGUCGGAAGUGUAAUCUUGGGGCUUAACCCUGAGCGUGCUUUCGAUACGGGUUGACUUGAGGAAGGUAGGGGAGAAUGGAAUUCCUGGUGGAGCGGUGGAAUGCGCAGAUAUCAGGAGGAACACCAGUGGCGAAGGCGGUUCUCUGGGCCUUUCCUGACGCUAAGGAGCGAAAGCGUGGGGAGCGAACAGGCUUAGAUACCCUGGUAGUCCACGCUGUAAACGGUGGGUACUAGGUGUGGGGUCCAUUCCACGGGUUCCGUGCCGUAGCUAACGCUUUAAGUACCCCGCCUGGGGAGUACGGCCGCAAGGCUAAAACUCAAAGGAAUUGACGGGGCCCCGCACAAGCGGCGGAGCAUGCGGAUUAAUUCGAUGCAACGCGUAGAACCUUACCUGGGUUUGACAUGGAUCGGGAGUGCUCAGAGAUGGGUGUGCCUCUUUUGGGGUCGGUUCACAGGUGGUGCAUGGCUGUCGUCAGCUCGUGUCGUGAGAUGUUGGGUUAAGUCCCGCAACGAGCGCAACCCUUGUUCACUGUUGCCAGCACGUUAUGGUGGGGACUCAGUGGAGACCGCCGGGGUCAACUCGGAGGAAGGUGGGGAUGACGUCAAGUCAUCAUGCCCCUUAUGUCCAGGGCUUCACGCAUGCUACAAUGGCUGGUACAGAGAGUGGCGAGCCUGUGAGGGUGAGCGAAUCUCGGAAAGCCGGUCUCAGUUCGGAUUGGGGUCUGCAACUCGACCUCAUGAAGUCGGAGUCGCUAGUAAUCGCAGAUCAGCAACGCUGCGGUGAAUACGUUCCCGGG
This 1343-nucleotide ribosomal RNA is filed under the name uncultured bacterium. RNAcentral describes it as "16S ribosomal RNA". It matches the Rfam family "Bacterial small subunit ribosomal RNA", at positions 28 to 1378 of the family's 1533-position model. The record is from RNAcentral.